RNAcentral lists this ribosomal RNA (250 nucleotides) under uncultured bacterium. Its description in RNAcentral is "partial 16S ribosomal RNA". It matches the Rfam family "Bacterial small subunit ribosomal RNA", at positions 524 to 773 of the family's 1533-position model. The record is from RNAcentral.
UACAGAGGGUGCGAGCGUUAAUCGGAGUUACUGGGCGUAAAGGGCGCGUAGGCGGUUUAGUAAGUGUGAUGUGAAAGCCCCGGGCUUAACCUGGGAAGUGCAUCGCAAACUGCUAAACUAGAGUAGAUGAGAGGGUGAUGGAAUUUCCGGUGUAGCGGUGAAAUGCGUAGAGAUCGGAAGGAACGUCGAUGGCGAAGGCAGUCACCUGGCAUCAUACUGACGCUGAGGCGCGAAAGCGUGGGGAGCAAAC